CAAGUCGAGCGCGAAAGCUCCUUCGGGAGCAAGUAGAGCGGCGAAAGGGCGAGUAAUGCGUUCCUAUGUACCCCUUGGUCAGGGAUAGCCCAGGGAAACUUGGAGUAAUACCUGAUGUGGUCUCUGGAUCAAAGGCUUCGGUCGCCAGGGGAGCGGGGAACGUCCUAUCAGGUUGUUGGUGAGGUAACGGCUCACCAAGCCAAAGACGGGUAGCGGGUGUGAGAGCAUGACCCGCCGCAUCGGGACUGAGACACUGCCCGGACUCCUACGGGAGGCUGCAGUAACGAAUCUUCCGCAAUGCGCGAAAGCGUGACGGAGCAAUGCCGCGUGCAGGAUGAAUCCCUUCGGGGUGUAAACUGCUGUCAGGGUUUAGCAACACAAUGAGCAGACCCAAAGGAAGGGCCGGCUAACUUCGUGCCAGCAGCCGCGGUAAUACGAAGGGCCCGAGCGUUGCGCGGAAUCACUGGGCUUAAAGCGUACGUAGGCGGGCGCAAAGGUACUUUGUGAAAUCCCUCGGCUCAACCGAGGAAUUGCUUGGUAAACCAUGUGCCUUGAGGCGGGUAGGGGCUGUCGGAACGAUAGGUGGAGCGGUGAAAUGCGUUGAUAUCUAUCGGAACGCCAAAGGAGAAAUCAGA
Molecule: ribosomal RNA, 635 nt
Filed under: uncultured bacterium
Lineage: Bacteria
Description: bacterial SSU rRNA
Rfam family: Bacterial small subunit ribosomal RNA
Source: RNAcentral